This 888-nucleotide ribosomal RNA is filed under the name Pseudomonas aeruginosa. RNAcentral describes it as "bacterial SSU rRNA". It matches the Rfam family "Bacterial small subunit ribosomal RNA", at positions 53 to 937 of the family's 1533-position model. Lineage: Bacteria; Pseudomonadati; Pseudomonadota; Gammaproteobacteria; Pseudomonadales; Pseudomonadaceae. The record is from RNAcentral.
ACCUGCAGUCGAGCGGAUGAAGGGAGCUUGCUCCUGGAUUCAGCGGCGGACGGGUGAGUAAUGCCUAGGAAUCUGCCUGGUAGUGGGGGAUAACGUCCGGAAACGGGCGCUAAUACCGCAUACGUCCUGAGGGAGAAAGUGGGGGAUCUUCGGACCUCACGCUAUCAGAUGAGCCUAGGUCGGAUUAGCUAGUUGGUGGGGUAAAGGCCUACCAAGGCGACGAUCCGUAACUGGUCUGAGAGGAUGAUCAGUCACACUGGAACUGAGACACGGUCCAGACUCCUACGGGAGGCAGCAGUGGGGAAUAUUGGACAAUGGGCGAAAGCCUGAUCCAGCCAUGCCGCGUGUGUGAAGAAGGUCUUCGGAUUGUAAAGCACUUUAAGUUGGGAGGAAGGGCAGUAAGUUAAUACCUUGCUGUUUUGACGUUACCAACAGAAUAAGCACCGGCUAACUUCGUGCCAGCAGCCGCGGUAAUACGAAGGGUGCAAGCGUUAAUCGGAAUUACUGGGCGUAAAGCGCGCGUAGGUGGUUCAGCAAGUUGGAUGUGAAAUCCCCGGGCUCAACCUGGGAACUGCAUCCAAAACUACUGAGCUAGAGUACGGUAGAGGGUGGUGGAAUUUCCUGUGUAGCGGUGAAAUGCGUAGAUAUAGGAAGGAACACCAGUGGCGAAGGCGACCACCUGGACUGAUACUGACACUGAGGUGCGAAAGCGUGGGGAGCAAACAGGAUUAGAUACCCUGGUAGUCCACGCCGUAAACGAUGUCGACUAGCCGUUGGGAUCCUUGAGAUCUUAGUGGCGCAGCUAACGCGAUAAGUCGACCGCCUGGGGAGUACGGCCGCAAGGUUAAAACUCAAAUGAAUUGACGGGGGCCCGCACAAGCGGUGGAA